RNAcentral lists this ribosomal RNA (253 nucleotides) under uncultured microorganism. Its description in RNAcentral is "partial 16S ribosomal RNA". It matches the Rfam family "Bacterial small subunit ribosomal RNA", at positions 524 to 776 of the family's 1533-position model. The record is from RNAcentral.
UACGUAGGGGGCGAGCGUUACCCGGAUUUACUGGGCGUAAAGGGGGCGUAGGCGGCCGUGAAAGUCCGGUGUGAAAACUCACGGCUCAACCGUGGGACUGCGCUGGAAACUACACGGCUUGAGGACGGUAGAGGGAGACGGAACUGCUGGUGUAGGGGUGAAAUCCGUAGAUAUCAGCAGGAACGCCGGUGGAGAAGUCGGUCUCCUGGGCCGUAACCGACGCUGAGGCACGAAAGCUAGGGGAGCGAACCGG